Molecule: ribosomal RNA, 390 nt
Filed under: uncultured bacterium
Lineage: Bacteria
Description: bacterial SSU rRNA
Rfam family: Bacterial small subunit ribosomal RNA
Source: RNAcentral
CCUAACACAUGCAAGUCGAACGGUAACAGGAAGAAGCUUGCUUCUUUGCUGACGAGUGGCGGACGGGUGAGUAAUGUCUGGGAAACUGCCUGAUGGAGGGGGAUAACUACUGGAAACGGUAGCUAAUACCGCAUAACGUCGCAAGACCAAAGAGGGGGACCCUCGGGCCUCUUGCCAUCGGAUGUGCCCAGAUGGGAUUAGCUUGUUGGUGGGGUAACGGCUCACCAAGGCGACGAUCCCUAGCUGGUCUGAGAGGAUGACCAGCCACACUGGAACUGAGACACGGUCCAGACUCCUACGGGAGGCAGCAGUGGGGAAUAUUGCACAAUGGGCGCAAGCCUGAUGCAGCCAUGCCGCGUGUAUGAAGAAGGCCUUCGGGUUGUAAAGACU